Molecule: non-coding RNA, 97 nt
Organism: Acanthosepion pharaonis
Lineage: Eukaryota; Metazoa; Mollusca; Cephalopoda; Sepiida; Sepiidae
Source: the annotation of a GenBank genome assembly
UCUGCGUUCAAACACCCGUUCCCAUAUAAUCACAGAGUAUAAGCAACGUUGAGCCUGGUCAGUACCUAGAUGGGUGACCGCUUGGAAAUACCAGGUG